This 79-nucleotide transfer RNA is filed under the name Alosa alosa (allis shad). RNAcentral describes it as "tRNA-OTHER". The record is from RNAcentral. Lineage: Eukaryota; Metazoa; Chordata; Actinopteri; Clupeiformes; Clupeidae.
UUUUCCGUGGCCUACUGGUUAGGGCUUCGGACUUGAAACCGAAGGGUUGCCAGUUCAAUCCCCCGACCAGUAGGAAAAA